This 76-nucleotide transfer RNA is filed under the name Desulfuromonadales bacterium. RNAcentral describes it as "tRNA-Asn". It matches the Rfam family "tRNA". Rfam says of the family: Transfer RNA (tRNA) molecules are approximately 80 nucleotides in length. Their secondary structure includes four short double-helical elements and three loops (D, anti-codon, and T loops). The record is from RNAcentral. RNAcentral also lists the same sequence under 2 other names. Lineage: Bacteria; Pseudomonadati; Thermodesulfobacteriota; Desulfuromonadia; Desulfuromonadales.
UCCCUCUUAGCUCAGUUGGCAGAGCAUCUGACUGUUAAUCAGAUUGUCGCUGGUUCGACCCCAGCAGAGGGAGCCA